GGGGCAGAAGUGGCAGUGGGGAGGAGAGCGGCUGCGUCCGGAAGCGGAGACUGGGGCAGAAGGUGGUGGGGAAGAGCCAGCACUAUCCAUUCUUCAUGGCAAGAAAGCUGACCAUCGAGUAGACCAACCAAACUGGUUCACUGACUGGCGACUGAGAGACAAUCGUCUCCCUGGAUGAGAAGAGGUGGAUACACUGGCGCAUUCCCGAGUGCGUGCAAAGGACUGACACAUGCAACUUGUAUUAAGACUAAUGGGAGCUACACGUGCCAAAUCCCUACAUAACCUGAGGAGCAAAGAAUGUCAAGAGAGCUAUACAUAAA
Molecule: long non-coding RNA, 320 nt
Organism: Hemicordylus capensis (graceful crag lizard)
Lineage: Eukaryota; Metazoa; Chordata; Lepidosauria; Squamata; Cordylidae
Exons: 3
Source: RefSeq, a predicted model, not a curated record